RNAcentral lists this long non-coding RNA (203 nucleotides) under Lathyrus oleraceus (garden pea). RNAcentral's name for it is "Pisum sativum (pea) long non-coding RNA (PSAT_LNC016208)". Lineage: Eukaryota; Viridiplantae; Streptophyta; Magnoliopsida; Fabales; Fabaceae. The record is from RNAcentral.
UAAUUUCUAGUUUCUAAUUUUGAUUUUUAAUUUUUUUUUAUUUUGUCAGUUGAUAUUUUUUGUGAAUUUUCUCUUUUCUGGUUAUUUUUAAUUCAUUUUAAAAAGUUCUUGAUAUUCAAAAAAUACAAAAAUAUUUUCCUAACAUAUUUGAAUGAUGAUGAAACUAUGAAAAAUAUUCUCAUCAAUUUUUUAAUUGAUUUGAG